UACGAAGGGGGCUAGCGUUGCUCGGAAUUACUGGGCGUAAAGGGCGCGUAGGCGGCACUGUUAGUCAGGCGUGAAAGUCCUGGGCUCAACCUGGGAACUGCGCUUGAUACGGCAGAGCUAGAGGAUGGAAGAGGGUCGCGGAAUUCCCAGUGUAGAGGUGAAAUUCGUAGAUAUCAGGAGGAACACCGGUGGCGAAGGCGGCUCUCUGGACGAUAACUGACGCUGAGACGCGAAAGCGUGGGGAGCAAACAGG
RNAcentral lists this ribosomal RNA (253 nucleotides) under uncultured bacterium. RNAcentral's name for it is "partial 16S ribosomal RNA". It matches the Rfam family "Bacterial small subunit ribosomal RNA", at positions 524 to 776 of the family's 1533-position model. The record is from RNAcentral.